ACCCUCCUCAACUCACAAGGU
Molecule: ribosomal RNA, 21 nt
Filed under: Ceratocystis albifundus
Lineage: Eukaryota; Fungi; Ascomycota; Sordariomycetes; Microascales; Ceratocystidaceae
Description: partial 28S ribosomal RNA
Source: RNAcentral